GUGGGGAAUAUUGGGCAAUGGGCGCAAGCCUGACCCAGCAACGCCGCGUGAGGGAAGAAGGUUUUCGGAUUGUAAACCUCUGUCGCAAGGGACGAAGAAGUGACGGUACCUUGUGAGGAAGCCCCGGCUAACUACGUGCCAGCAGCCGCGGUAAUACGUAGGGGGCGAGCGUUGUCCGGAAUUACUGGGCGUAAAGGGUGCGUAGGCGGUUGCUUAAGUUGGAUGUGAAAUACCCGGGCGUAACUUGGGGGGUGCAUUCAAAACUGGGCAACUAGAGUUCAGGAGAGGGAAGCGGAAUUCCUAGUGUAGCGGUGAAAUGCGUAGAUAUUAGGAGGAACACCAGUGGCGCAGGCGGCUUUCUGGACUGACACUGACGCUGAGGCACGAAAGCGUGGGGAGCAAACAGGAUUAGAUACCCGGGUAGUCC
RNAcentral lists this ribosomal RNA (427 nucleotides) under uncultured bacterium. RNAcentral describes it as "partial 16S ribosomal RNA". It matches the Rfam family "Bacterial small subunit ribosomal RNA", at positions 354 to 796 of the family's 1533-position model. The record is from RNAcentral.